AGUGGGGAAAAUAAAUAGAAUAUAUAAAUGUAUUAACGUUAUGAAAAGACGUUCUCACAAUACAAACACUGAAACAUCUCCUACCUUUUCCCCUUAAUACAUCCGUGGAAAGAAUGGUUCCCAUCGUGUGAUUCGGUAUCAAGCUGUUAUAUGUUAAUAGGACGUACAACAGUUGAAUUUAGUUUAUUGUUAUAAUCGGUCCUAUUGGUGUUUGUGUCUGGUUUGGCACCAUGAAGAUAAACGAAAACACUUUACUGGAGGGACACAAAGUUGUGUUGGUUCCUUACAAUGCAAACCACGUGACCAGGUCCUGAUCCUCCAAAUGUCUGGAAACAAGGCAUCCAUGGCUCUGGAGUUCUUCCUUGAUGCUGCAAAGAAACCUGACUACAUCCAGAUCUUGACAUUGUUCGAUGGAAGAGUCCUUUCCUGUGAACAAUGCAAGACUCAGUCCUGUCAACCCUUCAUGAGGACAUUGAGGUAAGAGCAACUAGGACAAUUUUUGUAAAAACUAUUGGCUUAAUUAUCUUCAUUU
This is a long non-coding RNA of Monopterus albus (swamp eel), 532 nucleotides long. RefSeq lists it as uncharacterized. The record is from RefSeq and is a predicted model, not a curated record. Lineage: Eukaryota; Metazoa; Chordata; Actinopteri; Synbranchiformes; Synbranchidae. The transcript has 3 exons.